CUGGAUGGGGCGAGUUGGUGGUGAAGAUGGACUUCUUAUUCUGGAAUAGCUUAAAGUACUGUUGGGUGUUUACAUUGUGGAGCCAAUUUUCAAGCCAGACCACUCGAGCAUAAUCUCUCGCAACACUCCAGUUAAAGAAGCCCAGAACUGUGAAGAACAAAGAGAAGGUAGGUGAUUGGAAUGAGAUCCUUGGAAGAGAAAGAAGAGGGGCCAGUCAGGGAUGCUAAUUCCCAGAGCUCUGUAACUCCUCUGGACUCAAGGCCUCACUUUCUGGGUGCAGACCUGGAGGAUGACAAACUUUCGACUUAACAGAGAAAAACUGAAGACCUACAAGUAAAUAUCUACAACAAAUGAUGGUUCUUAUAAUCACAUGUACUACCACAUGUUCUUUGUCUUGCUAGC
Molecule: long non-coding RNA, 402 nt
Organism: Balaenoptera musculus (blue whale)
Lineage: Eukaryota; Metazoa; Chordata; Mammalia; Artiodactyla; Balaenopteridae
Exons: 4
Source: RefSeq, a predicted model, not a curated record